UCUUCCAUAGGAAAGUCAUUAGGACUGGGUGACAUGUCAAAUUAAUUUUCUUUAUUCUUUUUUUUUUAUUGUUACACAGUGUAUAUAGCCUAAUGUGCAGGUUAUAUCAUGAGAAUCAAGUUAUUUGCCUUCAGCCUGCACAAAAUGAUUACUUUUAGUCUAAAAGUACCGUAGAUGAUAGCUGCUACAUUAGCUGUCUUUGUCAUUGUGUUAAGUUUUUGUUUAUUCUGUUUCCUGUUUUAUUUUGAAAGUUAAUCUCCCCAUGUGUCAUGUUUGGUUUUCCUUCUUGUAUUUGUGUGUUUGCCACACCUGUGUUUCAUUACUCAAUUAGUCUCUUGUGUGUUUUUGUGCUUCACUUCGUCAUCAGUCUUUGUAUACAGAGUACCUGCGUUGUUCCCAGUGUUUCCAGUGUUUCCAGUGAUUUAUUUAUGUUCCCUGCCUGAUUUCGGACUCUGAGCUGUAAGUCAUUUUUUAUUAAUCAAUCAUCAAACUUUCCCUGCUGCCUCUUCAUCAAUUCAUUCCAGUCCGUUCUCGUCAAACACCGACGCUUCGUCACAGCCGUCAGCGUUCAAUACGAAUCCUCCCCGGGACGCCUCCAGUCCUCCAGUCCUCUUGUCCGUCCUCCGGUCCGUCCUCCGGUCCUCCAGACCUGCAGACUUUAACCUGUGGGAGGAAACAGCUGAGGUUUAUUUAAUCAUCCUGGUCCCCGUCGUCCUCUAAAGCCUCCAACAGCUCCGGUCUCACGUCCACGGAGGUCCAGAGAGGACAGACAGCAGAGACAAGCUUUUACUGCAGAGAGGAAACACAACAUCAGAUUUAUGAAGCUCCACUCCCGAGUCCAGCUGGGAACAUCUGGCCUCGUUCUCUAACCGUUCUUCAGACGAUCCUCUCGGUGGUCAGCGAGGGGUCGGCGGGGCCCCCGUUAGUCCUCUGAUCCGGAUCGAGGGGUCACAGCAGCAGGGCCUGAGAAGAGACGCUGGAGCCCCAAAACCCCGAGACCAGCUGGAGAAACACAGCACCAACUAACGUCUACAGAUAUAUAACCAAAUAUCCCGUCCAGUCUCACGCUGUAAUAGACCCGCCUUUCCACCGCCAGUGUCACGUUUUGUGUCGCCGAGACGUGAAUAUUACCUACAUGAAGGUGUUAUGAAGUGACAGCUGACGGCUCCAACAAACACAGGACCGGCUAUUUGUUGUCUAAGUUACGUUAGCGACGUUUGUCAUGUUUUCUGCACUGACUGACUUUGUGUUUUACUUAGUUUACGUACUUAUUUUAACCUCUAAAGCCCUAAAGGGUGCUGGAAGGUGUGGUUCUCCUAGAAAAAAAAUAGCUCCACAACUAGCAGGUCUAUCUGCAUGAUUGUGGUCUCUAUGGAUAGGUAAGACCUCAGAGAAUUUAUCCUCAGUGUCAGUAACAAUGUGAAAAAGUCCAAAAAAUGCUUGAA
Sebastes umbrosus (honeycomb rockfish) is the source of this 1445-nucleotide long non-coding RNA. RefSeq lists it as uncharacterized. The transcript has 3 exons. NCBI's taxonomy places the organism in Eukaryota, Metazoa, Chordata, Actinopteri, Perciformes, Sebastidae. The record is from RefSeq and is a predicted model, not a curated record.